Molecule: ribosomal RNA, 396 nt
Filed under: uncultured bacterium
Lineage: Bacteria
Description: partial 16S ribosomal RNA
Rfam family: Bacterial small subunit ribosomal RNA
Source: RNAcentral
AUACGUAGGUGACAAGCGUUAUCCGGAUUUACUGGGCGUAAAGGGCGUGUAGGCGGUCUUGCAAGUCAGAAGUGAAAUUCCUGAGCUCAACUCGGGCGCUGCUUCUGAAACUGCAGGACUUGAGUGCUGGAGGGGAUAGCGGAAUUCCUAGUGGAGCGGUAAAAUGCGCAGAUAUUAGGAAGAACACCGGUGGCGAAGGCGGCCUGCUGGACGACAACUGACGCUGAGGCGCGAAAGCGUGGGGAGCAAACAGGAUUAGAUACCCUGGUAGUCCACGUUGUAAACGAUGAAUACUAGGUGUGGGGGGACUGACCCCCUCCGUGCCGCAGUUAACACAAUAAGUAUUCCACCUGGGGAGUACGAUCGCGAGAUUGAAACUCAAAUGAAUUGACGGGG